GCCUUACAAUUUAUGUCAUUUUUGUUUUAGCUCCAGCUAUGGCGGCAAGCACUUUCCCACCUACCAACUUCUCACAGAUCAAGGAGGGUCUCUGAUGCUGCCAGGGCUACAGCUGAUCUUAUUCUUUUGAGUGAAAAUAGCAAUUGUGAGGUAGAAGCUUUGAAAGUUUUGAUUGACAGAUGUCUGUGGGAGGAUGCACUUCAUCUGUUGCACAACAACAGUGGCACAGAACAUCACAAGGAGUUGUUUGUCAUUCUUGUCAACAGUAUAACAAAGGACAAGCAAGCCUUCAAGGAACACUAUGCCUCCCUUUGGGAUUGCAUUCCUGACAGUUUCAGAAUAACAGAUGUCGUAAGGAUUUUCAGUCUUCAUACCAAACGCUUCCACCACACCCAAAGCAAUGAGGUCUUCACACAGACUCCAGAUGAUCUGCCUGUGUCUUGUAUUAAAGGGCAAGUCUUGAAGAUGUUCCUCAACGAAUCAGUACCAGACUGAUUGACUUCAUCAGGCAACACUUGUGCUAGAAUGAAUUUAACUUGUGAAUCAAUGGGGGGUUUUUGAUAAGUGUGAGUAGGGUAUUACAAUUCAUAGCUGCCAAGUCAAGAGCUGUUGCUGGCUUCACACCCACCUCAGCACAACCAUGGUUGAGACUGAGGCAAGGACAUUUUAAUUUUUGCACCUUUAGGUGUCUGGAAAUACUCAGAGACUUCAAAAACAUUUCUAAAUUUAGAACACACAAAACAAAGAGCUACAAAAAUGUAUAAUAGUAUUGUGUAUAAUAGGCCUAGGCCAAAACCAGGCAGUAAUUGCAACAUGGUAUCCUCUGUAUUUUUUUUUUAUGCGACUUAUUGGAAACAGUGUGUGAUUUCACAAGUUAUUGAUUGAGGAAAGCUAUCUGACAGGAGAGAGUGACUGUUUUUCUAAAGCCUCUAAGUCAUGGAGUCAUCCCCAAUGGUGCCACCACAUAGGAAAACAGGAGCUGAUGCAAAAAGGCUCUAAUGAAUUGGAUCAUUGUUCCGCAACCUCCAAACCCUGAAUUUUAAAUAUUAUAAUUUACCAAAAAUAAAAUAUUGAUUAAAAAAAAAACUCCUAUACAUUUUUAAUGAAGUUUUGUGAUUAUUUAUAAUAUUUUUGUGAUUAUUUAGGCAUGCUUAAUCAUUGAUUAAUUUAUUUAUAUUAAUUAUAUUAUUAUAUUAAUAUAAGAUAUUUUAACUAUUAUAAUGAUGUAUAUACUGUAAAUUAUAUUUCAAAAUGCAAUAAUGUUUGGUGCUAUGAGUUGUAAUUAAAAAUCAAUGAAGUUAUAAAAUGGACACUGAAUCAGUGGCGGAUCAAGGAAUUUGAAAUAGAGGGGCUAAGGGAGGAACCUUUACAGAUAAAGUGUCUAAACCACCUGAGUUCCACCAUGGUUGGGGCUGAGGUGAAAAUGUUACGGCUAUGACUCCUACAUAGCCAGGAAUAGAAAAUUUGAAUAUAAUUUUCUUUUGUUCUCCAUUUUAAAAAAAUGCUGAAUAAUUUAGGGGUGGGGGCUGAGCCAACUGUGCCCCUUGAAUUCGCCUAUGUGAAUAUUAGAAAGUGUCAAAACAAAACUGAAAGAUACUUUAAGCCAAAACAGUAAAAUAAAAAAAUUCACACUGAGUAUUGGUUUACUUGAAGAAACUUUCUCUACAAAAACAGCAAUAUACUCAACUUUGGAAAUCUAUUGUUAAAUGUUUGUUUUUGCAGUUACAUUAUUUUGUUGUCAAAUGUUGAUUAAAUUAAAUCACAUGAAAUAAAAAUAUAUUUUUCAUGGUA
Molecule: long non-coding RNA, 1791 nt
Organism: Anneissia japonica
Lineage: Eukaryota; Metazoa; Echinodermata; Crinoidea; Comatulida; Comatulidae
Exons: 4
Source: RefSeq, a predicted model, not a curated record